GUGAAACAGAGGAGAGAGGAACAAUACAACAGCAGAUGCAGGAGAUAAGAUUGAAGUUAGAUUUAUACAUGCUAACUGAUAAAGCCCAGUCAUGGUUGGGAUUUCCGGAUGAUAGAACAAAACUAGGCGGAGGAAGAGAAGGGACUGUUGACUCAACAAGCAGUGCUGACAGAUGAGCUGAGGAGAGGAGGAGCCAGAUAAAGGAGACAAAGAGAUCCUGGGCCAGCGAGGAGAAAGCAAUGAAACAUUCAAUAGAGGCAGAAAGAAAGAUGAAGGUGCAGGAGGAAAGGAGAGAAAUAGUGGGAGCAGAGUGUCCACCAUUGGUAGUGUGCUGAGCUCAUGUGUCCUGUAAAAAUCCAAUCCUUCAGACUUGGCAGAUAGUGUUACCAUGAGAACAGCAGUGGGGUUAUUGUGAAGAGAGAGAGAGAAGGAGGAAGUGAAAGAGAGAGAGAGCAAGAGAGACGGGGAAAGGCCAGACUUGCUCCAGCAACCAUCUGUUACUCCAGCUUACGCUGGCACCGAGACCGACCUGCCUCUGGAAAGGAAUGUAGAAGUCCAACCAUGAGAAAGGCUGGAGCAACAAAAAAGCCCAGCACCAUGUGGGAGUAUUCUUUUAUGUGUGAAUUAACAAAGAUAACUUUCUUUAUUUUUUAUUUUUAUUUAUUUUUUUGUUCUUCAACCUUUUUUACAGAACGUGUUAGAACAUAAGUGCUUCAGAGUAAGCACAGUCUGUAUCUGCAGUAAAAAUGUUUUUCCUCUGAAAGUUUUAGCAUUUUACUGAAGAUGGAGGUUUUUUCUUUUCUUGCAGUUUUGCUAGUUUUCUCAAUCAGUGAGCAACGGCAUUGACAAAAGGAGUUUUUAUUAUUUGGCAUCACAAAAACAUGCUAUGUCACGAUGACAAGUGCAUAAUAAGGUGCUAAUAAGCCACAUGUGUUUCCUGCAUAAAGGGCUUGUGGUCCGCAGCUGCUGGAUGCUUAAGCUCCAGAGCUAGUAGAUAUGGCCCCAACGUGGCAUCAACACAACAC
Molecule: long non-coding RNA, 1025 nt
Organism: Astatotilapia calliptera (eastern happy)
Lineage: Eukaryota; Metazoa; Chordata; Actinopteri; Cichliformes; Cichlidae
Source: Ensembl